Molecule: long non-coding RNA, 1020 nt
Organism: Triticum aestivum (bread wheat)
Lineage: Eukaryota; Viridiplantae; Streptophyta; Magnoliopsida; Poales; Poaceae
Exons: 2
Source: RefSeq, a predicted model, not a curated record
GUCACCCUUGCCGCCUCCCACGACGCCCUCUCCUGUGCGCGUCUUGCUAUCCCCACAAGCCCUCGCCGGCACGCUCCUGGCCUCCCUCCCCGCUCCCCCCAUGGCAGACCAUAAGCACGCACGAGGGGCGGCAUCAAUUUCACUCACUGAUGAAAUAACCUCUGCUGCCCGUGGCUCCCUGACUCUCUGAUGACAAGAACAGGCACUUGUGGCACUCAUACAAGUCAACAGGCUGUACUCUAAUGGUGCACAAAAGGGAUGUACUCUAUUAGUCAUUUCGUCAGAUUUUAAUGUGAGUACUUACUGACAAAUGCAUGCUAGAUUCAUCAGUGCUCCACUGGUCCUUUCUCUGCAGCUUCCUUUUGGGUGUAUUUUCUAGGCACAUAGUAUAAUACAUGAUACAUAAGGGCAACAUGAAUAGAUUGAAAUACUAAAAUUCACUAUUUGUAAUGGAUAUGUCGUCUCCUUGAACAGAUAUGAGCAGCCAGUAGUAUUUGUUCAUCGCCAUUUUUUGCAUAUAGGGGUAGUAAAUAAAUGUCUUCAUACGGAAUUAUACAUCAAAGGUGUGCUACAGUACUAGAGAUAUAUUUAUUUUCCCAUUUUUUGAUAACCGUCGCAAAGGACGGACACAUAUACAACAAGUAUAUUAUUUCACCUGUUGAGCACUCAUAAUUGAACCCAUACAACAAGUAUUUGUAGUUCUUUCUUACAAGUUGAAUAUUUGCAUAGUGAUUUUGUAUUAACUAUAGAUUCCCCUCAGCUACUGGAAGGUCCUAAUUGCAAUUCUGAGCACUCCUGAUUGUACCCAUACAACAAUUCUUAUAGUUCUUUCAUAACAGUUGAGUAUUUUCAUAUAGAUUCUGUACUAAUAGAGAUUGCCAUCAGCCAGUGAAAUGUCCAUUUUUUUGGAUCACCUCAAUUUUGCAACUCUGAUCUAUCUGUAAUAUUUUUCGAGUUAUCAAGAUUGUAUCCAUGACAUGGGGAAUAUUCGUUGAAUUAAAUCUGAGUCUACACGUGAUA